This is a long non-coding RNA of Peromyscus californicus insignis, 29310 nucleotides long. RefSeq lists it as uncharacterized. The transcript is spliced from 18 exons. The record is from RefSeq and is a predicted model, not a curated record. Lineage: Eukaryota; Metazoa; Chordata; Mammalia; Rodentia; Cricetidae.
CUUGCGGCGCGCACGCGCCCUCGGCUCUCCCCUGGGGCUGCCGCACGCUGGAAGCGAAGGACGGCGGAGCGAGCGCGCGAGGAGCGCGGGCCGUGGGAAGCUGCCCGGCGGGUCGCGCGCUCGCCGAGCCAGGACGACUUGGCUCUGUUUUUUUUUGUUUUUUUUUUUUUGCACAAUGCCAGGUAGAGCCGGAUUGCCCACCCAUGCUGCGGCGGCGAGGCGAGCGCGCGCGCGCAGUGGUCCUGCUUUUUUCUAUUCAUCAUCUACUGCAGAACAUCAUCUUAUUCAAGGGUAUAGACUUGACUAAGACCUUUUGAGAACUCUUGGAAAUAAAGUCUCCAUGAUGAGCCAAGGGGUAGGUCGUUUCUCCCAUUAUUCACCCAUAAGAGAACACAGCAAGCAUGAAGAUGUCGGCUGUUAGCUGGCUGAGAACUGCUGCUCUAGAGAGACACGCCUGGACAUGUUAUUUUGCUCCUUUGUGGGGAAACCCAUGACAUCCUGCCCCUCAGUCCACAUUGAUGUACAUGAGGAGUGAUGGGCAUCCAAGCAUCUAGGAGACAAAGUAAGCUGUCAUCCUGAUGUAUAUGGAAGUUCUGUGAAGUGUAACGAGUAUCUGAGAACACAGGAGAAAAGAAACAGAAGACUCGGGAGCAACUCCACAUCUUAUCUACAGUGGCAGUUAAUGAACAGCCACAGGAAAGUGCUUUCUUAAUGAGAGACAAGGCCUACCUUCUACCAAUGCUUGAAGAAGGUCCAGAUGCUGAGUGGCCAAACAUGAUAAGCAUCUGCUUACUAUGAACAGUCUAGCAAAUAGAGGGCAGGAACGUGGGCUUAACUACAUCCUUAAUCACUGUCACCGACUCACCUUGCUUUAUCUCCAUAUUUCUUUAUCUUGUUUCUACUAACAUCCCCAACAAAGAAGAGCUCCUCUGUGGAGAGAUUCGCCUCAUCGAUACUGGGGGACAGCCAAGGUCUCAGGGUCUCAGGGGUGGUGCUUGUGUUUCAGAAGGUCAUCUAAACCCAAGUGGAGAAGCAUGAUCCUCUCAGUGAAGUUCUUGGAUACCUGAGGCCUGUCUCUUUUCUGCAUGUGAUGUUUGAACUGGUUUUCCUCUUGAUUUUUAAUCUCCAUAUGGGAAUAAACUAAUUUUUAUUUCAAGAUACUAAGAUUUCCUUUGGAAGAAGAAAAAUUAUAAAUUAUAAAUGGCCAUGAAUUAUAAAUAUUUGGCCUCAAGAUUUCAGCAACCACAUUCUCUCCCUAGGACAAGCAUUAGUGCCAUCACCAAACCCGAGUGGCUAUGGAGGAGUGCCAACCUGCAGUAAGAUGCUGUCAAUGUCAUAAACAAAUCAUUUGUACUUCAGAUGGAUGGUACUUGGCAUCAGUGACCUGAGCAAGCACAGAGAAGAAGCAAAGAAGUUGUAAUUAUUUUUAACUUUCUCCUCUGUAAAGGAAGCAGACACUGGGUUUAGUUUCCUUCAAAUGGAGCAAACACAGACAUCUUCUGAGACACGUAGAGGAAGAAUGUGGACCACAGCUGAACUGCACUCCGGCCCAUGCAGUCUGCAGAUGCUUCUGAGCACUGUGUUGACUCCUGCAACUAGACGGAAUGGUUACGGCAUCCCCAUGUUUAGAAAACCUCUUUCUCUGGUUGAUCUCUAAUUCCUUGACACUGAGCCAGGGUAGUUCAAGACUGCAGCGGUGUGGGGACGAGAAAGCUGCUGCUUGAGAGGAAGAGACAAGCACUGUGGAUGAGGAGCCGGAGAAGAAAAUCGUUUCCACGGCAAGUGUCCGAGAGAAGCACAGAGGUUUUGAGAGUCUGAGGCUCAGAUUACAGAAGACUCGUGUCCAUGACUGGAGGUGAUUUUGAGCAUUAAGGAUGAACGUGAAGUGUUCUUAUUUGGUGUUUAGAGAACAAACUGUUCUGAAACGUUGGAGUUCCUGGCACCAUUGUUCCUUCUGGGUUUUGCUCAGCUCUUUAAUUGAGUCAUUUUCAUUUUAAUCAAGUCAUGGCUUGAAGCUAUGCUACCACCCAACAGGAGCUAGAAUUGAUCUCACGUUGGUUUCUACAUAGCUGAUCUCCGUUCUAAAAUACAGUCCCUGGUUUGUUUUCUUCCUGGAUACUGUGAAGAUAUCUUGAUGUGGACUUGUAUUAAGAAGCUGGGAAAUUAAAUGAACACCCCAAAGGAUGGUGAUGCUAAUGACCACUGGGUGAAACGCGACCUACCCCUCUAGCCCUUCAGAUCUGCAUUUUGUUUGUUUCAAAUUAGCGGAAUCCUACCAUAUGCCAUCUUGUGACUGGAGUGUUUCAUAAUAUUGUUGAAGUUUAUCAGUUAUGAGAGCCACUGGAGAGUCUGUUGAGGAAGACAUGUGAGAAGACAUUGAAUCCCACUGUGAGUUUCAUCUACACGUAACAUGAAGAGUAAUGAAGUGGUCUUUCACCUUGGCCCAUGCUUCCUUCAAAGGAUGCCAGGGACCUUUUCAGAUAUCUGAAGUGGCAACAUCAUCCACCUAGAGUGCCUACUUCCCAGAAUUGGAUGACUGAAGAACCCCAUCAGUAAAUAAAAGGAUGCUGCAGGACUGGCAGCCAGGAUAAAUGACAGUGGUCCACUGAACUCAUUUUAUCUGGACCAAGAUGAAGUCAUGUGACCUACAUGCUGCCCAAGAGAAAGAGCCUGUGUCCCUGAAGACCCAGCCCAACAAAGUUCCUCCAUCAGAGAACCAUUUGUCUGCUGGGUUGGCAUCUACGUUAUCAAUUGUUGUAAGCUGUAAUUACAUCAUGGCCCACAAUAGCUCACAACAAUCGCUCUUGACAGGGAGCUAUGUGGAAGAAGAGGCAGAAAGAUUUUAGGAGACAGAAGGGAUGGGUAAUACCAAAGAACCAGUGUCUUCCAGACACAACAGGACUGAUACACAUAUGAACUCACAGAAAGUCUGGCAACAUGCACAAGGCACGUUGGCGUGAUGGCUGCUGCAGGUUUCCCCAGCACUAGCGAGAUGGAAGUAAUUUCCUACAUAAUGCACCACAAAUGGAUUUAGAAGUGCCAGCUUCAGAUGCUGUGAUGCAUAUUCAGAUUUUCCAUGCAGUAGAUUAGAGAAUAGCACGGUUAAAUCAAAGGGCCAGGGAUCUAGAGGCUUCCUCUCUGUUUCGCAUGCUGAAAUAUUAAUAAAGUAGGAAAUCAAAAGAGAACAAUUGAGGGAUGCUCAUGUCCUCUGAUUACAGCUCGUUUCUGUGAGUCCGAUUUUCGACGAAGAAAAGAACUAUAAUGGAAAAGAACGCGGCCAGGGAAACAAGGAUGACAAAGGGACAGAAGCGAAAUCAGAGGGUUGGCAUCCAAACACUUGGUCUCCACAAAGCACUGCUCAAGCCCUCCCUCUUACAGCAUCCCCAGCCGUGGCUGGGCAGCUCUGUCAGGAACUGGCAGCCUCCGAGCAUUGCAGCGCUGUGCUCCCUGUUUAUUGCCAGCUGGAGGAAAGCUUCCGUUUGCAUUUGGAACAUUCUGGUUUGAGAUGACUUUUCUGUGCUGUCUCAGAGCCAACUUCCUCAGGAGGACCAUAGAGCUGCUUCUUUCUACCUUUUCUGGGACCCUCUCAGUCAACGAGACUGCCUUCUCCCUAGAAACCGACAACGAGACCGCAGAAAGAAAAAGAAAUGUCUUUUUAGUUCCUACUGAUGAGGUGCCUAAGGGCACAGCGGAGUAAAACUCCUGCAGUGAGGACAUGGCAAAACCUUCUUGGAACUGCAAUGUAGAAAGACGCAAUACAGAGAGAAGGGAAAUGCUCACUGGAGGCUGAAGGGCAGCCCUGUAUUAAUGAAUUUCCUUGGUGCCAGUGACAGAGCUCUAAGUCAAAUAUGCAUGCAGCAAAGCAACUUGAUUGACUCCCGCACCCCCCCCCCCCCCCGGCCCCCAAAUUAAAAGCAUGAACACGCAGAUCAAUUGUACAAAUGGUUUUGGGUUCUUCCUCUGUUUGCUGGCCAGCUGUCCUCUGUGCUGCUUUAUUCUCAAGCAGGCUCUCCCCACUUAGACCAAAUAUGACCAGGAGCAGCACCGAAUGCCCUUCCAACCAGUCUCGACAUCUCAUCGAAAGGAAUUCACCUCCCAGUAGCUCUAGUCACCAUCUCAGGACCAAGUUGAGUCAAUGGGCACAGCAAUGGGUAUGGUUAGGAUUUUCUGAAGGAAAACUGAGCCUCCACGGCCAGAAGGGGAGAUGGUGAAACCCCAACACAGUCACGUGUCUGCCAGCCCUGGGCUUGUUCAGAAGCAGAUCUUUCACAGGAACAUCUCUACAGCUAUUGGCUCCUUUAUACAGGGCCCAGACCUGCAGCGUCUCCUCUGGAAAACAUCUACAUCCAUCUCAGUUCAUGUGGGCACCUGAGGGCUAUUCCACUUUGAAGCUUCAAUAGGUCAUCAGCAGACGUGGGGCUGCCGUUGCUUCAGAACCAGUGUCAGAAGCUUCUAGAGACACAGCAGCAUGAGGAUCCGAGUCCAGGCACCAGCCUUAGCUCUCAGCAGUUGGCUUGGUGUGGUGUUGGAAAGAGGAACACUGCCACGACAAUGACUCUUUUUCUUCUAACAACUCCACUGCUCAACCAGAAUCUUUUCGUAUUGCCUUGCUCCCAAGCUGCUGUUGCUCUCCAGUGUUUCCACAUGAAUUGGCAUCAACUUGUCUAAUUCUCAAAAACAUCCUCCGGCUAUUGUGAUUGUAACUAUAGUAAUUGCACAUAUCAACUUAAGAAAGAUGUGUUUCUGAUGAUUGUUCCAAAAGCAAGGUGCAUGUCUUCCAUUGUUUGACCUUCACAAUCUAUGGCCUUCACUGAUCUUUCAAAGGGUUUUUAUACAGUCUUGCAUAUUUGUUGUGUAAGACUAGGCUUUUAGUUAUGACAUUGCUUUUCUUUCUCUGUCAUUUUGAAAAGAUAUUUUCCUCCUUUAUGAAAUUUAAUGUUAUUGAGAUUUAUAUAUGUGAAAAUUAUUAACUUUACAUAUUAAAUAUGUGUUUUAUAUUCUUAUUUUCUAGGAAAGACCAAUAGCCCCAACACAGCAGCAUAAGAGGACAUAAGGGAAGAGGAGUUUAUAUAUGUGUUCUGUAUGUGUUUGUAUGUAUAUAUGUGUGUUCAUAUAUAUGUGUGUUUAUAUAUAUGUUCUCUAUAUAUGUGUGUGGGUAUAUAUGUAUAUAUAUAUAUAUAUAUAUAUAAAGAGAGAGAGAGAGAGAGAGAACAUUAUAUAUUUUUUCUCUUCCAUCUUAAAUCUUAAGAGGUUUUUUUUGGCCUUGCUUUGCUUUGUUUUUACUAGGAUGAGAAAAUUUAGAUACUGAACAUAUUUGACAAGCUAAAAAUAUAAAUAAAUUUGAAUAUAUUUUAGAUAAAAUUAUAGACAUGUCAUCAUAAAUUAGAGCUCAAUUAUCAAAACAGCAAUACAAUGUGUUUAGCCUAGCACUUGUAUUUUCCCUUGGGAGGGCAUAGCAUUCUGGUCUGUUCUUCUGUGCUGUAUAGCAUGAUACAGCCAUCCAUCCACAACUGGUGUCUUAACAUUGACACCCCACAUGCAUCACUAACAGGCCCUAUCAUCUUAGGUGAGUUCAUUAGCUCCAUGGGAUUCCUCUUAUGUCUAGUGAGGGUCAUAACAUGCAGCCUACCUCUAACCCAUGGCCACUUUCAGAAAGAAGUGUACUUAAAAGCAUGUAGCAACCCAGUUAUGGCGGUUCACAGCUGUAAUCUCAGCACUUGGGAGGCUGAAGUGUGAGGAUCAAGAGUUCAAGGUUUGCCUGGGCUACAGAGUGAGACCUUAUUUCAGAUAACAAAAAGAAAAGGAAAAGUACUAUAAAGAGUCGUCUGCCUAUAGAGUGUAAAGAAUCAUCUUAGACUCAAGAGUCACUCUGCAGAGAGGAAGGAACAGAGUUCUCUCCUUGGAGUCCUCAAAGCUCUGAAUGUCCCCAUUCAGAAAGGGGACAAAGGUGAGGAAAAAUAGUUCCCUUCUGUUGUUCAAAGAACAGGUCCAAAUAGGCAGUGGGCUGCACCCCUCUGUCGAGAAUAGCAAGUAGGCUUUAUCUCGAGUGCCAGGGCUCAGGGAUUGUGAGUGCCUGCCUAACGUUCAUUGUGCUCGUGAGUCUGAGGAUGCAGCUGGAGAGGGGACAGAGGUUGCCGCUAGCUAUUGAUGGCUGAGAAAUGGCAGGAAAAAAAAAAUGCCAGGCUGCUUUUCUGCCCUCAGCUCCAAGAUCGCAUGGAGCCACUACUGGCCUUGUGGAGUUUUCUAUGUCAUUAUCUCAACUGGGUCUUGAAACUGGCUGGUUUUAGCCCCACUUGUCACUUUAGUGUCUGACUAGGAAUAGAGACUACCCCUUCGGGGAACCCAUCAACAGAACAUUUCAGUCCCUUCCACAGCCGUCUGUUGUUCUUACAAUGCAGGACACGGUGUGCUCGGGGCCUGGGAAAACCAAUAGCGUCUAUUGAAUGCCCACCCCUUACACGCUAGGCCUGUACCAAGCACUCCACAAGUUGCUCUGGUGUUGUUGUGGAAUGGCCUUUUUCCCUCUAUGAUUCAAAAAUCAAUCAAUCAAUCAAACAAACAAACAAACAGACAGGUAUUAUUCUGUCCCUUUUCCCAAAGAGAAAACAAAUUUCAGAAUACUAGCGUUAUACUUAAAAGCCCAGGGUUCACCACAGUGCAAUGGUCCACAGAGGUCCAACAGCUCCACCUCAGACUGAGAGGCACUGACUGGCUGUGGUAGUCCCCAAUGUCCCAGUUCUCUUACACUAGAGAACUCCCGUAGCUCACCAGGGCCUCCAGUUGGACUGAUAGUCAUCCUCUCGUCUUUGAAUAGAACAGACAGACUGCUACCCCGGAGCAAGCCUCAGGACCUUCACGAAAUUGCCUGAUGCUUUAAAUUCACGUCGCAGGAGUUGUUUUAUUUACAGCACUCCAGAUCUCAAUCUCCUUAGUUACAUUCCUCCCAAUUAAGCUUAUGUACGCUCACAAAGCAUCAUUACAUGAUUUAACGAUGGAGCAUUUUGAAUUAAUUAUAUGCCGACAUUUUAUAACAUAUUCUAAGCGCCUUGAUGAAAUUGCCGCUCCUUUUUAUAGCCGCACAAAUGAGGUUGGCAGUGUUACUGAAGUUCCCUUCCUGAGAAUCAUUCCCCGCUGAAGGGACGAUACACAUAUUUCCAUAUGUGUGUUUUGAAGAGUUCAUGCUUUAGCUCUCAUGUAUUUGCUGUUUAACUAGGAAAAGAACCCCACAUAUGUCUGCCUGGUGAAGCUGUACCCAGUAGCCUGGAUAAACUUAAGCACACAGACAUUUGUGAAUGACUUUCUCUUUGCUAGUUAUUGGUGAUGGAUGGGGUUAAGGGUAGGUCUUCACUCCACAUGGCCACAAAUACGUUCAAGGAAGUUAUUACGGCUCUCAAAAAAAGAAUUUAUAGUUUAGCUGCAGUUAAUUCUACAAUGAAGCAAGUGACGAAAAUACUCAAGCUUCCCCUGAGGUAGCUAAGGUUACCAUGACCUCUUCUGGGGCUCUAAGUGACUCCUGGAAGGAUAAUUUUAGGUCUGUAUUUUAUGAUUAUCCCAAAGUGCUCUUCUCCCUUAAAACGGUGAGGGCGGAUUUCCCUACCGUCUUUGCCCUCUCCCCCAGCCCAUUUCAGAGUCUCUAUCUUAAGCCUCCACUACUCAACCUCCCCACCCUCCCAGCUCCACCUCCAGUUUUCUCCUUCUCCUUCUGACAGCUCAACCAUUAGGAGUUGAACUUCCUGAACCCCAGCCCAAUGGGAACUCACCUGCCCUACAUCCUGUCCUUUCAGGGCUUCUCUCUACCCAAAACUCUCAUCAGUAAGUUAAUACCAGCUGUAUAUGAGGAACACCUAGAUUGAUGUGCUACCUAUUAACUGAGUUUUAAACUUAAAAAUAAAAUCCACUGGUUGCGUGCCAAACAAACACUUGUGGAUAAAGAGAAGGACACAUGAAGAGGCGACUCGUCCAUCUCUCCGUGUGUUUGAAAUGCAAUUGUGUCAGUUGUCACGACGUGAUGGGCACAAGUGUCAAGUCAUCCUAGCUGGGGCCCUAAGGGCAGAGUGAAACGGCAAUCCCACCCUAGUUUAACUUAGUGAGUGUCGAGUUUAUUAGGAUUUCUUACAGGAGCAUGAGUGAGGGAUGAGUUACUAAGGCAGUGGUUCUCAACCUGUGGGCCGUGCUCCUUCUGAGGGUCAAAAAGGAUGACAUCCUGCAUACCAGCUAUUUACAUUAUGAUUCUUAACGGUAGCAAAAUUACAGUUAUGAAGUAGUAAUGAAGAUAACUUUGUGGCUAGGGGAACUGUAUUAAAGGGUCGCAGCAUUAGGAAGGCUGAGAACCAUUGUACUAGGAGAAUGAGUGAUUUAAAGGCAUCUGCGUCCUAAAAGCCCACAGCAUCAUGGGCGAUGACUCCUGAACAUCACAUCCUAGGAGCUCCGUGUGACCCUUGAAGGCUCCUACAGAACCUGCAGAAGAGUCCCCUCUUCCCAGCAAUUUCCUGCUGCCUGUAUGACUUUCAGCCUUGUGAGUCUUGUGAAGACUUGCAUCCCAAGUCUUCCGAGUUCACGUCUGCCCUGCAGGAGACAAUGUUUCAAUUAGGACAGGCAUCAGAAGUGACACCGCAAAAGUUCCAGGGGACAUUCUUACAGGGGACAUUCUCAUUAAGAGUACUUUGUUCAAUAAUGUCUAAAAAGUUAUGUUUGUUUGGAGUCUACUUCCUGCAGGUGGCUAAAUACCUAUAUAUUUGUAAUCUUCCAUUUAACUGCGCAUCCAAAAUAUCAAAACAAAAAGAUCGUUAGCUGAUCUUAAAGCUCCCCAGAGAGAACAGCUGAAAUUCUUUGAGUCUUGAAUAUCAAGACUACACGGUAAGCAUUGCACUUACAUCCCAGCUCCUCCAGAUUCUUGCGGUAUAGGCAGCUCUCUGCAUUCAAGCAUGAAUCUUGAGGUCUCAGAGUCAUGUGGAUGGAACUCAGCAGUUCUCAGCCUGUGGGUCACAAUCCCUUUGGGGGUCCAAUGACGCUUCCACAGUGGUCACAUACCAGAUAUCCUGUGUAUAGCAUACUUACAUUAUGAUUCCUAACAGUAGGAAAUUACAGUUAUGAAGCAGCAAAGAAAUAAUUUUAUGGUUGGGGGGUCACCACAACAUGAGGAACUGUAUCAAAAGGUCACAGCGUUAGGAAGGUUGAGAGCCACUGUUGUAAUCCAAGCUCCUGUUAAGUGAAGAUGAGGCUCAGAGUUUGGGGACAAAUGCUUAAGGUCUUGAGAAAGACUUGGAGGUGGGAUGGUUUCCCAAGGCAUCUUGGUACUACUUGGAGAGUUUAUGAGUGAUGAGUGAAACCUGUUAGAACUGUCUCAGCCCCUUGUUAUUCCGGGUCAAGUUGGUGAAAAUUCCAUAUUGCUAGAAAUGGAGUUUGAAGACAAAAAUGUGAGCUCCUGAAACCCUAACGGUUGAACUCAGCCGCCUAUCCCAAUAAAGUGAAGAGAUAAGCAAUGAUGAAAAACAAAGCAAAGAGAUUUGAUCAGUGUGGUCAUGUCUAGAAGGACAGAUAAUGGAGCCCAAUGGCCAUUCCCGUUUUAGAGUCCUGAGGAGCUCUGAUGUGAGCUUUAGUUCUUAAUGGAGGAAGAACCAGCAUAGGGACAUAGACAUGCGCAAUAUUGUCUUGGUCAAAGUAUGCUCUGGUUCAUCACUGUCUCACUUCUGGUGCUGAGACAUGGCCCAAGGAAGUUACUAUGACUGCUGUCACUUUAGGAGAUCAAUCUUGUCCUUAUAUGACAAUGCCUCCUGCUUCAGGGUGCAGCCUCACCUUCAUGGACAGUUACCCUCUCAGGAUGUGACAAGUCCUGUAAGUCUUCUGCUGUCUUGGGAUCCAAAUCACUUUCAGGCUUAGGACAAUGACCCAUCUCUACACUUUCAGCAAUGGAGGGGGAUGAGACAAGGUAGACACACAAGCAUCCCUUGAAUGAUUAACAUGCCUAGGCAGAGUCAAGGCGAGUUAGACAGGAAAAAACAGUAGAGAUGGCAGGCUCAUCUGUGGGCCAUAGUGAGGCAUUAGGAGAGAUGGCAGGAUCGUGUGAGGGCCAUAGUGAGACAUCAGGAGAGAUGCCAGGAUUUCAUCUGCUUCCACCUGUGGACCAAAGUGAAACAUCAGUGAUCUUUAGACAAACAGUUUCCAAGUGCCUGAUGAGUUAGAAUAGCAACAACUUCACUGGGCUGAUGUGAGAAAUGACCGUGCAACUGUGUGAUUCACGAGAGCAGCAUCUGGCACAUAAUGAGUGCUUGGCACACCCUAGUGUUGACCCUUCACUUAGACCUGGCCUCAAAUUCAAAGUCAGUCUUAUGUCUAACCAAGUGAAUAUCACUACUGAUACAGUCUUACAGGUAACAGAAAAUUCUCCUCCAUCCCAAAUAAUCCAAAAAGUCGGGAAUGAUUCUCUGAUUAGUCCCAACAGAUCCUUACCUGGUCCCCCACCCCCACACACCCCACACACUUUAUUUAUACGUCUCUGAUUUAUAGCAUGAUGGUGCACAGCUCUCAGAAAACUACAGUAGAAUUACCGCUACCCCAAAGCAUGUAUGAAUGGGCCUAUUUUUUCCUUCCACCUAAUAUGUGGAGGGUUAGGGUUAAGAUUAGGGCUAGGGUUAUGGUUAUGGUUAUGGUUAUGGUUAUGGUUAUGGUUAGGAUUAGGGUUAGGAACUCAUAAUGUCAAAGGUUUCAUCCCUCCUUGUCACUACUUUUUCCUCAGCCGACUAUUCAGAACAGCAUUGGGUAUUCAGUAAAUAUUCAUUGAAACAAGUCUUUCACAGUGUAUGGAUUGUAGUUAUACAUAUUGAAGAUGUACAGCUUGGGACUUUGGAAUACAUAUACAUAAAGAGCUAGUUAGCACAGCCAAGUAGUUUGCAUAGGUGUCCGCUUGUGAGGUGAGAACAUGGACAGCAAACUCUCUUAGUAAACAUCAGUAACAGCACUGUGGCUAGCACGGAAUGCCGCCCACUGAACUUAGGCAUUCUGAUUAAGUGAAGCUUUGUAGCCUCCACCAGGCAUCUUCCCACACCCUUUGACCUCCCCCCAUUUACCUCUAAUUCACCCUCCUCUUCUGUGAAAUUCUUAAAAGUCACCAUUUGAAACUGACUUUCUAAAGUUCCACAUGCAUAAACUAUUGUGCAGCAUUUUGCUUUUUAAGUGGUGCUUGUUUCGCUGAGUGUGAUGUUUUCCAUUUUCAUCCAGGUUGUGACAAAUGACAGGCUAUUCUGUUUGUCGUUUGUUUGUUUUUGAGAUAGGGUCUCAAUAUGUAGCCCCGGUUGGGCUGAAACUUGCCCUGUAGGCUGGCUGCCAAUUCACAGAAAACCUCCUGCCUCUGCCUCCAUAGCACUGGGAUUAAAGCCAUUUGCCACCCUACCUGGCUAUUAUUAUUUUUAGAGGCUGAUAUAUAAAUCACAAUUUCUAUAUCCAUUGCUCUGUAUAAGGACAUUUAGAUUUCUUUCACAUGCUGGCUGUGGCAAAUAAUGCUGCAAUGACCAGGUUGUUUAGAUAGCUCCCAGAUAGGAUUUUAGUUCCCUUACAGCCCAGGAGUGGGAUUACUGGAUCCCAUGGUAGUCCUGUUUUUAACUUUGAUUUUUUCUUUUAUAUUUAAAUUUUAUUUUGUGUGGGGAUGGGGGAAGGUAUGUGCAUGUCACAAUGCAUGUGUGAAGGUCAAGGACAACUUUUGGGGAGUCUGGUUUUUGCCUUCCAAGAAUCUCUGUAUUGUUUUCCAUAAUGACUAAUUUGACACUUCCAACACUACCCUCUAAAGGUUGUUGUAGUCAUUAUCCUGGUAUUUCCUGGUUGGCUUCGAUUUCUCUUACCCCUGGUGAUGUUGGGCAUCUUUUUGUGUAACUGUUGGCCAAGACAUGAAAUCCCAGAAUUCCUAGGAGAAGACACGAAGAACUAGCUUCUGAUUGUUUGCUUAUUUGUGUAUUUGGUUCUUAGUCAGGGCCUCAUGUUCCCUAGGCUGACCUAUAGCUUUCUAAAUGGCCAAAGAUUUUGAGCUGCUGACUCUUGUGCCUCUAACUCCUAAAUGCUGAGAUUAUUGACACGGACCACCAUACCGGUCCAGGCACAAACUUGACAAUGGUCUUGGCAGUGAAUUUUUUAUAUGACACCAAAAACAAGCAAUAGAGGCAAAUGUUUUAAAUUAAGUAGAACUAUUCAAAAUGGAAGAAUUCUGCACCACAAAGGAAAUACACUGAAACACAGCUGCUAUGAUGGGACUCUAUGAAACAGUUAUCUGAAAAGUUGGUGAAAAUACAUACAGCUCAUUCAACUCAACGGCAAAAAGAAACUUUAAAAAAAAUUUGGGCAAAGGACUUGAAUAGUUUUGUUUCUCCUAAAUGCAUGUCUUUUUAAAUUUUCAUAAUCUUGUUCACCUUCUCUUAAUGCCUUGCAAUACAAAUUCGUGUAACAAGCACAUAUUUGAUCCCUGACACUUUAUGUGGAUUACUAAUCUUCUAAAUUUCUGAGUUUCUCUCCUUGAUAAAUGGUAAUGGGGCUCCUGUUGGGUCCGGAUAUUGGUGUCCCUUUAUGCAUCACCUGAUUUUAAUAAGCAUUCUGCAAAGUCAGUUUGUUUAGAGGUAGUCUGUAGCUGGAGUUUUCCUGCCUGGCCAGAAGUCAGGGCAAAUCUCUCUCACCUGCCAGUCCCACAGCCGUCAGACCCAACCAAGUAAACACAGAGACUUGUAUUGGUUUCAAACUGUAUGGCCAUGGCAGGCUUCUUGCUAACUGUUCUUUCAGCUUAAAUUAAUCCAUUUUUAUAAAUCUAUACCUUGCCACAUGGCUCGUGGCUUACCGGCAUCUUCACAUGCUGUUUGUCAUCGUGGCGGCUGGCAGUGUCUCUCUGACUCAGCCUUCCACUUCCCAGCUUUAUUCUCCUCCUUGUCCCGCCUACACUUCCUGCCUAGCCAAUGGCCAAUCAGUGUUUUAUUGACUAAUUAGCAACACACUUGACAAAAAGACCAUCCCACAGCAGUAGUCCCCAGCCCCAAUAUCUAACCACCCAACAUUCAGUCAAAUUUGUCAUCUCCUAAUGUGUUACCUUCUUAGUCACUGUGACAAAUAUCUCAGAGGAACAGGAAGAGGAAUUUCAGUUCAUGGUUUCUGUCUAGGAACAUGACCCCACUGUUCCUAGCCUGUGGUGAGGCUGGCCAUCAUGACUGCACCCACUGUUCCCAGCAUGAAUUGAGGCCAGGAAUUACGGCUAGAAGGUGUGGUGAAAAUGAACUCCUGACAGCCAGGGAAGCAAGGGAAAGAGAUAAAGGAGAUGGAACAAGGUGUAUCUUUCUAGGGAGGCUCACUAUUGACUUACAUAGUCCAGCUAGGCUCUCCCUCCUUCCUACCAUCUCAAAGUGAUGCUAUUCAACUAUCCAUCCAUUGUGGAUUACUUGUUUGAUGAAGUCAGAGUCCUGAUGAUCCAUUUACUUCCCCCAAGCUGCUCUCUGGAUACCAUAUUCAUUGGGAAGCAAGCCUUUGGUGACCAUGUCAUGUUCAAAUCAGGACACCCUGCAUCCCAAAGUGAUACCUGAUCACCCUGCCUCAGACACUAGUAGAUCUUCUACCCAGAACGCCCACUCACCCUCAUGUUUACUCAUCAGUUUUCUACCCAUUGACCUAUACUUUGCUCCUGCAUUCACACAUUAAGCCUGGCCUGUACUGGGGUCUCUUUUCUUCUGCGGUAGUCUUGAUUAAAAUCUUUACCAUUCACUACCAGACUUGUGUGUGUGUGUGUGUAUGUGUGUGUGUGUGUGUGCUGUUCUGAGACUUAGGGUUAGAGACAGUAAAUGUAGUUGGGAUUGCUGGACUACAGCAUCAUCUCCAUCUCUAAUUUCCCUCCCCCACCAUUAUGAUUCUACAUUUAAAUUAUGUUUUCCAGAAUUGCCUUCUGAAAAUACCCAUCUUGGGUAUGAAAAAUGUUAGUAAGACACAGGAUAAGAAAUUGCUUAGGAUAUAUUUUUAGUUGUUGUUUAUCCAGAAUUUAUGUAAUUCUAGUGCUAGAUUAUAUUUUUUGUUUUAUUUAUUUGGAGUUUUUGAGACAAGAUAGGUCUUGCAGGCAGCCUAGGCUGACCUCAAACUUUCUAUCCUCCUGCUCUGCUUCCCAAAAGCUGGAGUAACAAUUUUGUAUCGCCUAGGUUGGUGGGCAAUGUUUUAGACCACUGUUGGUCUUUUACUGUUUAAUGCCUGCGAACUAGUAAACAGGGUUGAGGAGGGGCAGAGUUUGUAGGUCUGAACAGUGCCUGAGAUGAGAAAUUUUAAAGUAGGUUAAAUUGCUUAAGAAACUGAUGAAAUCUUGUGGAAUUUUUCCCAAGGCUAUCCCACCUUGUGAUAAUUCCAUGUCAACCCCCCGCCCCCCGCCGCCCCUUCCAUGAUGCUGAAAUGUUUUUCCUUUUCAAAUUCAGCAUCUCCAAAUAUCACAUAGCUUAUGGGAGUGGCAUUUUGACAGUCUCUACUGUAGGUAAGAAAGAUGUUAGUGAGGUGCAGGUUAAGAAAUUGCUAUAGAUUUCCUAUUGUUCUUGUUUACACGGAAUCAUUUCUUCCUGCAAGCUUGCACUAGUUAGAGGCGAGGAAAGAACACUGGUUGAUUGAAUUUGAAUAUUACUAAAGAGUCUUAGCACUCAGCUGUUCUCCACAGGACAGACCACAAUUGGCAUGUCACUCUGAUCACAACAGAUAGGCAAAUGUGUUUCAUAAAGGACAGCACAAGAGUAGCAAGGCUCGAAUUGGCUCUAUGCAUAGGUAGGCUGGAAGACUGGUUCCCUAUUCUGAUUUGAGGGGUAUAGAUUGCUUGCUUCAAAAUGUCUGUCUUAAAUCCUAGUUUGAGAUUCUCCUGUUACUGUCAUCUCCCUUCCAGGCAGAGAUUGUCUCCUGAAGUCUCCCUAGUUGGAGAAGGCAGGAGGGCACAUUUAGCUUGGAGUAGCUAGCUGUUGCCAUAGCAACCAGAAGCAAGGCCCUGGGGGGAUGAAACAUUUGGCAGGCAUGUUUGUAGCAGGAGGGAAAGAGACAAGGAAAGAGGUUACAUGAGGUGGCACCGUAAUUGGUAGCCCUGGGCAGCCAUGGCACAGUCACCUAUAAGACAAAACGUUAUUUCUCAUUUUAGUCAGGCACCAUCUUGGGUUUCUCCAUCAUAAAGCUAGCCAUUGUGUUCCUUGAAUUGCUUGGCUCUCUGCUCUUCAACAACAGUGUGGGCUUCUAAACUUCUAGACCAUGUCAUCCUGUAGUCUAUUCACAAGAUAAAUAUAGUUCUCCCGAGCAACAACAAAGCAAUUAGCCACUACCCCCCAGCCUUGGCUACAGGACACAAAGACAAUUGGCCAGAUACCAGCGUCUUCCUUACUGUGUUCCCAGAUAUUCAUCUGGGACAGCGGAUUGUAGGAGGGAGUAGAUUGCAGUUCACACACAAAAGAUUAAAUUUUCAGGAAGUCAUCCUUCAAAUGAAGGCUUUCAGUGUAGGAAAAAAAAUCUUCGAAUUGUAACAGAGCAGGAAGAAACCUUAAAGGUCUUUUAAUUCCACACCCUCUUUUUACAGAGGAGCAUACCAAAAGCCAGAGAGGUUAAUCAUGUCCCCUGGCCACCUAAUUACUCUGUCAUGUCUAAUGAUUGCUGUGGAAGAAUCUGAGAAUUCCCAGUGCUUCCCAAUUGUAUGCAUUGAAAAGCCAGUUUGCGUAUCAACAGGAAAUGUUAGCGUAGAGGCUGACAAUGUCCAAUGGGUUCCUGUGGAGAGUAAGAGCCGCAACUUGCUGGAUCCUUACAGUGUGCCUGCCAGUCAUCCACUAAAGGCACCCAAGUCUCAUUAACUAAUUCCCCAAACAGUCCCAUGUGGUUAACAUUUGAGCACCAGUGUACAGACAGAACAUGGACCUUGAAAGAAGCUCAGUAACUUCUUCAUGGCCAAACAAGCCAAAAACAGACUUAAGAUCUGACUCGGCCUUUGCUUCUUCCCACAGCACUAAAAACCCUCUCUCCUGGCUCUUUCCAUGUCUCCAUUUUCUGGAAGAAAACCAAGUACAGCAGCACUUGGACUCCUAAGCUCAGUGUGACAAGCUAUAGCUGUCUCCUAAGAAAGCCACCUAAUCCAGACAGCUAGCCAUAUUCCUUAGGGAUCCAUUUAUGAACAAUGACCUUUCUCUAGUAAUAAAUGUAAAACAUACCCUUUAGACACAAUUUUAAAACUUAAACCAAAGAUAAAAGAGAAAAUUAAAUUCUUCCUACUAAUCAUACCAAGGAUCUAUAUCUAAGAAAAUUUAUUUUGUCUUCUAUCUCCAAGAUUGUAUUUCUUGUAAAAAUUAGUGAUACCCUAUAGCAUUUUUCCUAUGCACAUCCUUUCCCUUGGGGGAAACUCAUAUAGUAAUAAACCCCCACCAAAAACUUCCUCUUUAAGUCAUCCACACAUCUCUGAGUUCUAUAUCUCAGACAGCUCUCUUGCAAGCUACUCUCUUGGGUGGAGCAACCCAUUGGGAGUGUUACAGGAAGCCCCACCCUGGUCUCAUGGAACCCUUAGACAAAUUCUUUGGAAAGGGUGUUCAAUGCACUCCCCUUUAGCUCCCAAAUAUAUAGAUGUUUUAGUCCAUAUGCCCAACUGAAGUCAUUUUUUCCCUCUUGAUGUCAUAGAUGAAGGGCUGAUAUUGAAAUGGUUUUCAUGGUAACUUAGCUGAUACAUAGGAAAGUCAACAGAGGGUAUUUAAGAUCAUCAGUGCUGAAGGUGUGUCUCAGCAGGACAGCACUAAUCUGCAUGCUGGAGGUCUUGGAUUUGAUUUCAACACUACAAAAUUAGAAAGUGAACUUAAGAAUAGAUAAAUACAGGCAGGCAAGAUGGGUUGGAGGGUAAAGACACUUGCUGCCAAGCCUAAGGGACCUGAGUUUGAUCCCAAGGAUAGAAGGAGAGAACCAACUCCCACGAGCUGUCUCUCUGAUCUCCUAGUGUGCUCUCCCCAUAAAUAAGUGAAUGAAUGAAUGAAUGAGUGAAUGAAUGAAUGAAGUUUUUAAUGUUUUCAAAAGAAUAAAUACAGUUGUAAAACUUAGGAUACUCUAUUGUGGCAAGCUCAUCUUGUAAGGGCAAGAGUUCAGGAAGUCCCCAUCCUAAAGAUUCUUUCUGCCCAGGACAGCGAGCGUCCUAGGAUGCUGAGCUAACAAUCUCAUGUGUAGAGCUUUGGAUUGACUUCCUUGUACCUGUGAUUCCUUUGCCCUGGAUAAAAUUUACCCUGAGGAAAACCCUGCUGAGGUCAUGGAAAUGUGUACCUAAGGCACAUUCCAAGUACCGUGUGACACCCAUUUCCGAAGAACGGGUUUCCAUGGGAAUGAAACUACGUGGACAGCCAGUGCUUCAGAAGUAAGCCAGGGCAUAGUUCUCAGUUUCCAUGGACCUAGUGACAUAAGGCUUCAUACAGGUAAGCUCUUACCACUCUGCUGGUGAGAAGUCUAGAGAGACAGCAUUUUGCUGGAAGCUCUAACGGAGAACUUGUUCUUAUUUUCCCAGCUUCUAGAAGUUUCCUGCAGGUGUCACUUUGUGGCCUCAGGUUUCUAUGACCUCUGCCUGCAUGACCACACUACCUUCACUCACGGUGACCUUUCUGCCUCCCCCGUGAUGACCCUGAGCUCAGUCAGCCUCUACGGUAUCUUUUCACCAUCUGAAGAAUACGUGUCAAGUUUCCCAGUCACUUUUGCCACGUCUGGGGACCAUAGAUGAGAAUGUGGAUGUGUUUGGGGUGAUGUUAUCCAAUCUAUUGUAGGCUCUAAAGACACACUCGGUAGAGUUGGGGCUAUUUGCAGCGGAGUUUGACUUGUCCCCUUAUUCUCUUCUGCCUCUUUUCUACACCGCCUCUCCCGGUUCUUUAUCUGGCUUCCAAGCCUGAGUCAUCUUUUCUGGGCUCGUCUUUCCUCCCACAGGCACUGAGACGUUGGUAGCAGGACUCUGCUCCCAGCCACUCUCCCUUGUUCAUUCCACCACAGCUGUCACGGCUGCCUGGGGACCCACUGGGAAGCUGGAGUCCUGCUUGUGCAGCUGCUUGCGGCAGGUUCUUGAGAGGAGACUUAGUCACUGAGACUUUUAUUUGAGCCAUAGAAUUGCAAAUUUUUGAUUGCCUAAUUUAGGGAGGGUGAGCCUAAAAAUAAAGGUCUGCUCUUUCUGGCAUGAGUUUUUGAAGGCAUUUUGGUAACGGAAGCAAGUCUGGGACAGGGUGUGGGGUUGUGGGCAUUUCUCUGCCACUUGAAUCAUGAACUUGACCAAUUCCAUGGGACCUAGAACAUGGAUAAUUGCUGCCUGCUUGCUGUUCCUUUCGGCUAAAACCUUCCCAGAAGCUCCAUUUAACAGGAUCGGAAUCCGAUGGAGACACGACUGCUGGUGAAAAAUGUAUCGAUGUAACUAAAUGGGAGAAGCAAAGAGAAAUGAAACAUGGUGACUGUAGACGUUCGGCUUUACCCUUCCACAGUCAAGACAGAGACCACUCUUCAGUCAAGCACGGCUCCCCUCCAUGCCAGCCUUGAAGGCUUUGUUGAGAAUCCUUGCCAGACACAACCACUCCACCAGCAGUGGCCCAAAUGCUGCUGUCCUUUGUGUCCCCACAAGACAGGCGUUGGCUCCCUGUUUCUCUACAGUCUGUCGGGUAAGGGUGGUUCUUCCUACUGCAGUCCAGCGCAAAGAGGAUGACAUUGCAGUUUCUGCAGCUGGCAGAAUGCUCAAAGAAAUGGAAUCCUCUUCCUCCUCCCUCUUAUCCAUUGGUUUGGGGACGCUGUUGUUAGCCACCUCCAGCUCCUCCCUUGAGUAAUGGGUUUGUUUCCUUUCUCCUCGGUGAAACCUGUGUGCUUUGAAUUCCUGCAUGAAAUAUAUAGCCCAAGUCCCCAGGUUUGACUUUUUAAUUAAUUAUUCUUCCUUAAUUAUGUAUCUCUGCCUAGUUCCUCAAGAAAGAAUGCAACUAGGUCCUCCCCAGCUCCCUCCCUAGAGAAGACGUGACAGUAUUGUCAAACUCUUCAAAGGCAAGGAGGCAUAAGAAACAGACUCAUCCAUUCCUGUUUCUCUGUUACCUCAUAGUUUCUGCUUGCAGCAAGCAAGCAGCCUCAGAGGUUAGCAGACACCCUACUGUUUUGACAGGCACUCCUCCAUUAAGGCUUCUGAUUGCCUGGCCUAAUUGCGGGUGUGUGUGUGUGUGUGUGUGUGUGUGUGUGUGUGUGUGUGUGUGUGUACUCCUGCUCCACAAACAUGGCUUCUCCACCUCUCCCUCUUUAUACCAAUGCUGUAAGCAAGGAAAGAACACUGAACUCAAACAGCUCAGUGACAGCCAGCCUGGAUGACACGGGAGGGGAAGAGAGCAGGGCGUGUGCUGCUGUGCAUUGGCUCUUUAUUCAAAGAAAAUGAUCCCUUGUGGCUGGUUCCCCCAUACCUUAGCUGGGACCCAGGGAGAGUGCUCGCUUUGGCUCACUUUGGCACCCAGCCAUCUGGAGCCUGCAAAAUCCUGGGAGAGGACUGGCGAGUCAAAAGGGCAGACCUCGUUAGUCUCUCCAUCACUCCACUGCCCUUCUCAGGCCACUCACUAACCCAGCUGCUGGCUCAGCACUAAAGCACGCUCGUCCUGCGUUGUGUCCCAGCGGCCGCCUUACAAGAGGGCUUUUCAGCAUAGAGACGAGCCAACAGACCGCCUUCCUGUGCUGGAAUGCCCACCUGAGUGUUUCCUCUGCAGUCCUAGGUGCAGCACCCGGUAGUGAUCACCCCCACAUGCCCAAGAGCUUGAGCUGCCUGCAGCAAGGCACUGGAGCUUUGCCAAUGCUUGCGCCCUGGUGGAGCCGAGACAGAGAGCAAGCAGCCUGCAGUCUCUGAGCCUGGAGCUCCCGGGGAGCAGAACUUUGAACCUCCUCCGGCAGGGAGAUUAAAUGGAUGCUGAGAAGCAGCACAGAGGUGGUAAAGGGAUCUGUGACUCCGCAGAGCUUAAAGGCCCCACCCCUGCUGGUGACAUAAUCACUAGGUCGCUUGCACCUUAAGGCCUCACUCUCAUUUAGAGAAGCCAGGGUAUAGUCCUUUGCUUUCGAAGUUCAUUUUUUUAUUGGUUUGAGAACAUGCUUUAAAAUAGAGAGGCGGACGAGACUAUACACACUGCAAGGUUGAUCUCAGCCUGGAGAUGUGAAGGAAGCGAAGAUGAACUCACUAUUAGUCCUUUGUCUCCUUCUGAGUCCCCGAGGGUCUCUUCCCACUUCUGUGGCCUGUAACCAUCACUUCCUCCUGGUUGACUUGUAUGUGUCUGUCUAUAAGUAGAUGGUACGUAGACUAUUCCUAAUUGGAGCUCAUGCCUUUCAUGAUUGCUAUCAUUCUUCACUUCCACAAUAUUUUCCCUUCUCACAAUAUACUGGCUUAAAGAUUCUACAUGAAUCUCUAGAGAGCUGGUUCACUUAUUUUUGAAUUACCAUCUGUCUUAGUGGGAUGCCGGCUACCUUUACCAUCAUUGGGACAUGGUUAAAAUGCAUUGCCCAGACCCUGUUGUCAGAGUCUCCUCUCUCAGAUCUAAUGUUGGUGUGGUGGGUAAUACUGUCAACUUGACAGGAUUCAGAAUCACCUUGGAGACAUGCCUCCGGUGGAUCAUCUAGAUUAGGCUAGCUGAAGUGGGAAAAUCCCACCCUGAACCCGCUGGGCAGCACCCAUCGGUAGGCUGAGCUUUCGGACUGAGUCAAAAGAGAAAGCGUCUGAACAUAAACAUUCAUCCUUCUGUUUCCCCACUGGGAAUGCAAUGUGACCAGCCACCUCGAAGGCUGCUGCCGUGACUUCCUCACAAUAAUGAACUACACCCUAGAACCAUGAGUCAAACUUCUUCUCCUUUAAGUUGCCUUUGUCAGGGUAUUUUGUCACAGCACCAGGAAAAACAGCUAAGUCUGCUGGGUGAACAUCCCUUGUUGGCAACUUCCUCAAUGGCAUCAGUACUCAAUUGAAAUUCUAUGAGUCAGAGUGGAGAACCACCACUGCCCAUCGACUUCUCGGUGGAUCAGAAGCAAUUUUACAUCUUUUUCCAGAAUCACACCAGCCAGUGAAUCAGCCAGACGACUCCCUGGAAUCUGCUCCUAGCUGGGUGUGCAGAACGGUGAGAAUAGCCUUCCCUUUAUCGGAGUGUAUUACAAAACAGACACUCCCAAGGAUAGAGAUCAGGCACCACAUAACCUUGGCGGUAUUUUAUAGCCCUGUUAUUUCUCUCUUCCCCCUUCUUUGUGCUAGCCAGAGAAGAAAUGAUCCGGACUGACCCAAAAGGUAGAGUCAAGCCAUCUGCCCUUCUUCAAUACAUCCAACCAAUGUUUACAGAGUGCAUACAUGUUGCUGCUGUGCCGGGUGGUAGGGAUCCAAGAGGCCCAUCCAUCACAGACCUCCUCCUCCAGGGUGGGGUGUGUAGGCCAUUUAAGUAGACAGAUGUCCUUCUGUAGGGGAAACAUCAGAUACUCUGCAGAACAGAGGCUGCAGUGAGAAAGGAAGAAAGCCUCGGUCUCAGACAUAGUGGGCUAGAAUUCGGUGUUGUGUCUCUGCUGGACUCUCUUAUUCCAGAAGCAAGUUCACUCCCUGCAAACACAGUUUCCUGUUCUGCAUCUCCUCCCAUCCAGCUGUGUGUCCAACCCAGAUUCCUGCCUUGUAUAGCUGCCUUCUGCUACCUGUAAGUAGCCUACUUGCCUGAGCCUCAGACGCUGCAUGGACUGCUCAGAUGUGGUCUAGUGAUCACUUAGUCACAGAAUGAUGCUGGAAGUCUUGCCCUGCUUGCUUUAAGCCCAUUGACUGAAACUCCCUCAGAGAAACCUGCUUGGAUAAUGCCUGAGACCCAAUAAAGACAUUGGUGGCUCUACCUUUCUUACUCUGACCUCCAUGUGUGGCGUCCACGUGUGACCCCAGGAUGUGGUAACAAAUUAUUCAUUCCCAUCUUAGUCAUUGGAAGGACCCUCCCUCAUGAAGAUCCUAAGUUGAAACAGUCAGUGUGAUUGUCAGGGCCGCUGCCUAGAGUAGCUGUUCUCAGAUGUGAAUGCACAUGGGACCAGCUGCAGGAUGUCUUAAAAGAAACCCGGUGGACCCAGAGUAUUUGACUCAAUAGGUGCGGCCUGAGACUCUGCAUUUCUAACAAGUCCCCGGAUGGGAACCACCAAUGGCACUAGCCUGGACAAAGAACCAAGGUCUCGGAGGAGCUGAAGCCUCCUGGUUUGCCCCUCAGAGCUAGGGCUGCAGAGCGGUGGCAUCACUUGAGCCUCGCCCCGAAGUUUGUUAGAGAUGCAGAAGCUGCCUCAAGGGCACCAGACCACAUCUGGGCACAUCAACAGCGGCAAAACACCCUCUUAAACCACGGGCACUGGGACUCACUGCACAUUAGGGUCGCAGGAGAAAGGGUUAAAAAUUCAUUGUGUUUGGAUUCUCUUCCCAAAGACUCUUGUUGAAAUGGAACAGGAGGUAGAAAGCAACUCUAGGUGGUUCUGUGUGUAGCACAUUUGGGGAGUGACUGACCUAAGGUGCAGCCUGCACAGGAGUUGGGACCGCAAAGGAAGGCAGGGUGAGAGUCACGGGAACCAGGAUGUAUCAAAGCACGGCGGCAAGAGGAGCGAAGUGGGUUCAUUGAACACAUGGAAAGGAACUCAGUCAGCAGGGAGCACAGGGUUAGGAGGAAAAUUUGUUUGGGGCCUGGGAGAUUAUAAGAGCUGGUUGUGGAAGACUGUAGAGUCUUGGAGCUUUGGGUCUUCUGUUAUAGUUGAGUGUAGUAUUUUGCAUUUAGAAAUUUGUUGGCCACACAGCUGCCUGCUCAGGGAUAUGGGGACAGUAUUCCUGGGGGUUGCUUUUAAAAGAACAUAUAUUGCCUAUUUAAGGGAAAACCGCUCCUUUCAGAGAAGACUGCUUCUUAAACUGAAGAUGAAAGCAGAGGGUUGGUGCAGAAAACGAAGAAGCAGAGUGAUCAAGGCCGACAGAUGACGCUGAUCACUCAAAUGUGCCACUUUGGCGUGAUGGUUACUUUGAGCUGAAAUCAGCUGAGAAAGAGAUGCAGGCAAAGCUCUCUGUCUAAAAUUGGGGCACACAUUUGGAAAGAUGCCUACCUUCCAUUCUCUACCAGGAAUAAGUUAAUCAGUGAAGACAACUCCAGACCCUUUGAGCUCACACAUAGAUGGACCUACAGGGAUUUGCAUACCAAACUUUACCAAAACCCCAUCAAAACAAAGCAAAAAACUCUCCCCACUGCUUUCCUGACCCAUUUGCCACUUGAUAAGUUGCUGUCCCUGGAGAUUGAGAGUCCUUCUCUUCAUCCUGACCCUUACACGUGAACUGUCCUGUGUGUGAUGGUAUGUCACAUCCGUUCUAGCAGGAUUAAAUGGAUUACUAGCACUCCCAUGGGUAUCUGCAAAGCUCGUGUUAGUAAACUUCGGUUUGUUUGUUUGUUUUCUUAUUAAUUUGUCAUGUGUUUCAUCCACAGAGCCUCUGCAGGACACUCCAAGAGGGCUGAAGCAUAAAUGUUUUUCCUUUCUCUACCGUGCCGACCCAGUCUAUAAGCCUUGGUUUUAGCACUUGGACGUCUAUUGUGUGGGCUGAAUACUAUUUACUGAGCACAGAAAGCUAAGGCCCAGUGCUGUGGGAGCAGAACCCAGAUCCUCAAAAUAGCUGAAAGUGGAAGCUUGCACAGGCAAAUGAUUCCCCCCUCCCCAUCCCGACCCCAAAAGAGCAUGAGCAUGAAUCUGCUUGAAGAUAUGACAGUGCUGCUAACUGAGAGGAUCCCGGGCCAUCCAACUCCACUUAAGGCCACAGCUUAGCGUCAAAUGGCCUCAUUCAGCCUGCAGCUGCAGGAAUCCUGAGGCCAUGCCAGGAGCCCCAGGAAUGCAAACAGGGCUCAGUCUGGGCCUCUGACACCCUGUCAGCUCUGAGAAAGAACAAGUAGGCAUUUGUUUGGGGGGAAGGCCCACAAUGAUACCACAGGAGAGGGAACUGAAUGCAAGAAGGGAGCCGGGCCAAGGUCAAAAGGCUGGUGUAGUCUCUGCCACCCCAGCCUGUGUGACCUCACUUGCUCUCUGGCUAUAGUGGCAGCCUGGCGGCAGAAGCAGAGUCCUGAGCAUGGGGUGGCAGCUCUUGAAGAACGGAGUUAGAGUUCUGUAAACCCCCAGGUGAGGACUGUUACCCAUCUCUCCAGGUAAAGGAAAAACAAGGCCUUUGCCAGGAAAGAAGAGGGUAAAACCAUUUGGGGAGGAUUUCUCCUCUUCAUCUAGACCCAAAAGGGAGGUCAUGUAAAAAGAGCCCAGGUAUUGGUGUUCCCUCGAGCAGAAAAAUAUCAAAGCCUUUAUAAGUCUUCAUUAAUCCAAUUCUCCCAUGAAUUCUGAUGGCGAUGUUUUGCUCUUGACCUUUGCAUAUGCUGCAUGCCAUUGAAGGUGACACCAUGGCUGCUUGUGAUGGUUACGGUCCCUUAUCAACCCUCCACUGCACUCCAGAUAAAAACAGAGUGAUCUAGUCUGCGCAUGUAGAGAAUUAUUCAACCUCGGCACUGUCGACAUUUGGGGCCACUCAGUUUUUGGUGGGCAGCAGUCCUCUAUAUUAUAGUAGAGGCCAUAUUUGGCCUCUGCCAAGAAAAGUCCUGUUUAGCAGUUCUCCCACACGGGGAGCUGAAGAUACCUGCAGGCGUGGCCACAUAUCCCCUACUGUUAGAAUUAUUCUCAAACCAGAACUGGCUCAGAGGAAAAACAGUUUCCAUAUAAAAUCCUUGAACAGGUUCCGUAUAAAACCUUGAAUCCAAGAUGACUGGCAGUCUGUUACUUGAAAUCGUUUCUGACAGGAAAGCAGUCCCCGAUGACCAUCAGUCAGACUUUCACCUUCAACAUGAUGUGGAAGUCCCAACAAGGCUUAACUAGAAGGUGCAUGCGCAGUGGGGCCAACUGUCAGAUCUGAGCCACUUUUCUUAAAUUGCCUUGGAUGUUUUUUCUUUUAGAUUUACUUAUUUUAUGUGUGUGUGUUGCCUGCAUGUAUGUAUGUGCUCCACAUGCACACAAUGUCUACAGAAGUCAGAGAGGGUUUCGGGUGCCCUGGGACUGGAAUUACGCUAGUUGUGACUCAUCAUAGGGCACUGGAAACUGAACCCAGAUCCUCUUACAAUGUAGCAAGCGCUCUUAGCUGCUGAGCCGUCUCUCCAGUCUCAGAAGUUAUAAUUUUGUUAAACAGGAUUUUCUCAGUUAAUAGGACCAGACAGGUAGUAAAAUGUAACAAAGGAUCCUAUAUUUAAUCUGGGAUUUUUAUUUUAUUUUGUUUUUAUUUUAGAGAAAGGUGUGAAAGAUCCUUGAGGAACAACUUGGAUGUGAACUAUAUGUCAGGCAAGAUGAUUGCCUCAAGGUAGCCAAAGAAACAUGUUCAGGGAUGCUUAGAAAAAACAGGCUCUAGACGGUGGACAGGAGGAACAGCCUGAGUAGGGUUUACCUCAUGUAGCACUGAUGGACGGGAACAAAAGGAAGUGCUGAUGUGUCUUCUAACAUGACGAACCUCAACAAUAUCAUGAAGGGAAACACAGGCGGAGAGAUCGAAAACAGUCAACAUUUAACACUGAGUCCCUCCUGGGUGUUUUUAGAAAUGCUUCUGUGGGUCUGAAAAUGUUUACCAUACAAAGUAGAGGUAAGAAAGCUAAGCUAAUAAUAAUAACAAUAGUAAAAUCUUUGCUUAUGCAUCAUGCCCUCCAUAAGAGGAGUGGGAAGCGGAAAUCAACACCUCUCUCCAUUCUCCCUUGUUUGCUGUGUAAGAAGGCCUGACUCCUCUACAGAUCUUAUUUUAAAAUGUGAUUAACUAUUCAACUCUUGCUUUUGAUAGAGGAAGCCUUUGAAUGGGUGUCCAGUGAGCCACGAGACAGCAGCUUUCUAAGCCACUAGUUGAUCUCAGCCAGCUCAUCUUACGUUAGUGGACACACACAAUACCUCCACUUACCUAAAAUGUGAUUUUUUUUUUAAUUUCCUAGAAAUACGGAACUGGCAGCUCAGAUGAUUUGCCAUGGAAUAAGCACUGGAUCCAAUUUGUUGGUAAAGACUAUCCCAUGAAAACUGGGUUUGGAAGGUGACAAACAGGAUAAGUGGAACAGGUUCUUGCUGUAAAUGUCACAGUCUGAGGACCCAUAGCACACACCAUUUCCCACCAUGACCUACUGUCAACUACUGCAGCCUGUUCAGAAGGAAAUAUGCCUGAUCUACACUUCAAAACGCAGCUCUGAGUGGCUCUUACCACAAACUGAGAAUUCAGCUCUCGGAUGAGCUGUCACCCUGGAGCCUUUCUCUGUGCCCAACUGAUCCAAGGUGACUUCCAGCAGACUCGAAGGCACUUUGAGGAAAGUCCCAGGACCCACAGCGGGUGGAGCUACUGGGUAAGGAGGGGCCUCUUCUCUUCAUAAUGGCAGCAAAUGCUGUCUCGUCAAAUGGUUACUUGUCUUUUUAAAUAAAGUGACAACCUAGGGCUCCAGUUAUGAACGCAGCUCAUUCUCUACCAUAAAUCUCUAGAAAAUAUCCAUUUCAUCACUUAUCUACUUGUAUGCUUAUAAUAUCUAAAAAUAAAAGUUUGAUAUAAAUAAAUGUCCUUUAGUGGCGGUAUACUAAAAGACCAGCCCCUUGGCCUUUAGAUAACCCUUCAGAUCAUUUUACCAAUACAGACAGCAGCUCACUAGGACAGCUGCACAGAGUUAGUAUUGCAAAGUCCAUUUGCUCUGUCUUUUGUACCUGGCCAGCGGACUGCAGUCGUGGCCAAGGGUUCCUAAGAUGCUGACGCAAAUGAACAGAAUUUGGUCCAGAGCGAGCACAGAAAAUUCUGCACAGGAACUAAUUAAUGUCCAGUACCAUUUCAAAUAAACAUUUGAUGGGGCCAGAAAAAUGUGUACCAAUACCAGAAACAUGAAGGUGGGAGACAGAUCCACAGGACGAGCAACUAGACCAUGUAAAGUGCUGGAAGACCUCAGUCAUUAUCUUAAAGCAGAAAAUUAUACUUUGAUUACUUAUUUUUUCAAAUCCCCAAACACCAAGAGAGUUCAAGCAAACAAAUAACUUCUUAGUUUUCUGGCAUCUCAGAUGUCAAAUUUUCCUUCAUUUUAGGUUUAAAAAAAAAUCAGUGCAUAUGUAAUAUAGGUAAAUAGGAAGAAACAAAGCCCUACCCUCAUUUUGCAAAUUCUGUCCAAUUGCCAGUUUAAAAAGCCUUUCCCCUUUGGUGCUUUUAUGGCAACGUGAGAACAUGAGACACAUCUCUUGUCUUUUUUUUUUGCCAUGAAGUACAGGAGCGAAUUCCAUGGUUUGGUCCCAAUACCAGAUACCCAGAGUGCCAAGGACGGACGGGUGCAGUGAAGACUGUCCACAGACUUGUGUCCAACUCUGCAGGUGGUGGUGUGUCCAGAAGGUAUAGUCUUAUAAGAAGAAUCCAAAACUAACCCUUAAAAUAACAUCCUUGGACUAUCAUUUAAAGGUAAGACAGAAGUUUCCCGAAAUCAUCAAAGCAUACUGAGUCAAAGGUGCUACAAAACCAUGGGCUGGGAGCCCCCCUCCAAGUGCCUACUGGCCUUGAGUGAGUAGAAGUCAACUACAGGCUGAUCACGUAAAUUGCUGUCCAAAUGAUAAACGUACCUUCUGGUAGAGCAAAGGGGGGCUACCAAAAUCUACACUGAGCAACUGGUAUAAACAGGGAAGCCCAGAGAAGGAGGAACUUUUGAGACUAAGACCCAGGGUAUAAAGAAAAAGUGGCUAUGCCAUGCUCUUCAAUAUGGUAGCCACUGGCCACAUGAAGCCACUGAGAACCUGAGAUGAGGUGAGUGGAAAUUGAAGUGUUGGACCAGUAUAAUAUAUAUUGUAGAUCUGCGUCAAGGAAAACAUAUUAGUGAAAAUUUAAACAGAUAUUUGAAAUUAAAACCCUCUGUGGUAAAUGUUUAUAAUGGCCCUUAACUUCGUGUUGACUAUUGAUAGGUUUGUCUUAACUGUUGAUAGUUUCUGUAUCUUCUUCUAACCCCACCCCUACCCUUCAAACUCCUGGUGAAAGCCAUAUUAUUGGGCUUCUUUAAUCAUCCCUUUUCUUUUUCACAAGCUCAUCUUACCCUAAGUUUUAAUUCAACAACUUAGUAGAGUUGGUGUAAGUUAGCUGAAGGAAAGGAGAAAUGAAAUACAAAACCAACUUGCAUAGGCCAAACCCCUAGACCCCAAGGCCUAUGUGGGACAGCAGCCCGCCUCUGGGCUGACUGCACUGUGCACAUUUAGAGAAUCAGACAGUCAUUGAUGGGAGUUUCCAGCUACAACUCACGGUUCAUAGGGAGAGGAGCUGACUUCACUUUGCAAUUUGGAUUUGGUCAAUAGUGUGACUAGUCUUCAAGUUGGAGACACCUGACCACGCUUUGCCUAACCUAACCAUAGGCUACCAUGCUUACCGCACUCACCCGCGGUGCCUUCAGACUGUCCAUGCUACCUGUUUGGAAUUCCAAAUUUGGCAAGAACUCUGAAUCAAAAGGCGUUAUUAACACACCUCAUGGUCACUGUGUGCUCUUUGGUCUGGCCAUCCAUUUUGACCACCCAGAAGAGCCAACACCCUUACAGAUAACCGCCCCCUGCUCAGCCUCAGCCGUACUUGCUCAGGCAGAAUGCCAGGGAUUUCUCUCUUUAUGCUAAUCCAUCUUGCCUAAACAAGACCUGCAGAAUGACAAUACCAGUUGGCAUGCCAAUGUGGGUGGGGGAAAUGUCCUAAAGCCCUACCCCUAGAUGAAGAGCUACAGGCAAUCAAUGGCUGCUGAUAGAGGAAAAUAGGGGGCCACGAGAGAAAUUGGGGGAGGAGAGAGAUGGGUAAAAAUGAUGUAAAUACAGUACUCGUGUAUGAAGUUCUCAAAUUAAAAAAAAGAUUAAGCUAAAAAUUCUGUUUUUUCAUCAUUAACAGCUAGUUUUUCUUCAGCUUUCCCAAUAUGCUACUUUGGUAAUAUCUUACUCAACUGCUUUCACAGGUUCCAAUCUCUUCCUUGUUAUCUGGAGGUGUGUGUGUGUGUGUGUUCACUCCACAAACAUCUACAGAACAUGUGCCUGCUAGGUGCCAGACAGAGUACUCAAUAAGCAUUCGCUAGGGAUUACUGACUGACAGAACUCAAAUUCUACAAGGUAGGUCACGAUAGGAAAUGAUGGCAUUUCGGGAGGCAAGGGCUACAGCGUACACCACGUACAAAAUGCAGUGAAAGGACAGAAAACUUCACAGGGAGGAACCAGGAGAGCUUUGGGAAGAGGCUAUGCGGGACUCCCACCAAGCACUUCACGUCUCAGGAGGGAGCUGCCUGCCCCUCAUCACCUCACUCCAAGCGAGGGUCUCUAAGCUGACACCUGAAAAGUGUGAACAGAAAU